Molecule: RNase P RNA, 197 nt
Filed under: Alphaproteobacteria bacterium
Lineage: Bacteria; Pseudomonadati; Pseudomonadota; Alphaproteobacteria
Description: partial RNase P RNA component class A
Rfam family: Bacterial RNase P class A
About the family: Ribonuclease P (RNase P) is a ubiquitous endoribonuclease, found in archaea, bacteria and eukarya as well as chloroplasts and mitochondria. Its best characterised activity is the generation of mature 5'-ends of tRNAs by cleaving the 5'-leader elements of precursor-tRNAs.
Source: RNAcentral
AACAGAACGGGCAUGGUAAACCCCAUCCGGAGCAAGACCAUGUAGGGACACGCGUUGCCUUAUGCAACAGGUGCGAUCCUGUACCGAUGUCCGGGUAGGUUGCUUGAGGUGGCUGGCAACAGCCAUCCUAGAUGAAUAGCCAUCAUCAACCGCUAUGGCGGUUGGUACAGAACCCGGCUUACAGGCUGUCUGCUCAC